UACGUAGGGUGCAAGCGUUAAUCGGAAUUACUGGGCGUAAAGCGCCCGCAGGCGGUCGGCUCAGUGUGGGGUGACAGCUCCCGGCUUAACUGGGAGAGGACCUCGCAGACGGGACGACUCGAGGGCCAGAGAGGGACAUGGAACUCCGGGUGGAGUGGUGAAAUGCGUAGAGAUCCGGAAGAACACCAAAGGCGAAGGCAGUGUCCUGGCUGGUACCUGACGCUCAGGGGCGAAAGCGAGGGGAGCGAACGGG
This 253-nucleotide ribosomal RNA is filed under the name uncultured bacterium. Its description in RNAcentral is "partial 16S ribosomal RNA". It matches the Rfam family "Bacterial small subunit ribosomal RNA", at positions 524 to 776 of the family's 1533-position model. The record is from RNAcentral.